This is a long non-coding RNA of Spinacia oleracea (spinach), 622 nucleotides long. RefSeq lists it as uncharacterized. NCBI's taxonomy places the organism in Eukaryota, Viridiplantae, Streptophyta, Magnoliopsida, Caryophyllales, Amaranthaceae. The record is from RefSeq and is a predicted model, not a curated record. The transcript has 2 exons.
GGUUUUCAUCCAUAUUUUACUAGAAAAAACUUAAAAUUUUCUGAAUAAUUAAGUACAGUGCAAAAAAAAAAAUGAGCAUGGAGAAGCAUUCAUCUUGUUCUAAGUUGGCUCUCUUAGCAUUUCUGUUGCUGACUAUUUCAACUCCUACGUUGGGCAAUAGUGAGACAGAUGAUGAUGUUACUCAAGCCAUAAUACAAGAAGUUGUAAAGGAGCAAAUUAUUAAUGCUUAUUAUAACAACAUUAAUCAAGAAAAGGCCAUUAUCAAGGAAUUUGGGUUUGCAAAAGAGACACUUAAGUGCGUAAAGAGAGGAGGACAAUGUGGUGUUUUCGUUGGUGAUUGUUGUGGCGGCACUAUUUGCAUCCCGCCUUUUCCCGUUGGCAUUUGUUCGUAAGCUCGCUCGUAUCGCCGUUCCGUUUCAGCGAUCACCGUGCGCGCGCCUAAGCUAGUUAGCUAGGUUGUCUUUGCGUUUGUGUUUGUGUUUGUGUUUGUGUUUAUGUUUAUGUUGAGAGGGUCGAUGCUCGUUUGAUUGCUAAGGAUCGAUCUAUUAUGAUUGUAUGUUGUACGUACUUUCUUUUGUUGUUGAUUAAUAAAACACCCCCCCCCCCCCCUCUAAAUGUCCUA